This 1166-nucleotide long non-coding RNA is filed under the name Triticum aestivum (bread wheat). RNAcentral describes it as "long non-coding RNA (TAES_LNC019309)". The record is from RNAcentral. Lineage: Eukaryota; Viridiplantae; Streptophyta; Magnoliopsida; Poales; Poaceae.
GGCACACCGCCGUCUCCCUCUCCCCUGGUGGCACCUCCCUAUGUGAGCUCCUCCCUAUCUUCCUGCUCCUUCACCUACUCCUUCUCAUCCCAUGUAUUUUAGAUUUGUUUGUUCAAUUUUACUCCAUAGUGCUUGCACGCCCAUGAAUAUGGAAAUAACCUACAAAAAAAGAAUCUGGAAGUAGACAUUUUAGUGUUUUUCCUAUUCCAUUAUCCGCUUUUUUGUUGCUAAGAGUACAAUUUUUUUGCAUGGGGGAUUAAUUAGACUGGUUAUAUAGAAUGAUAAUUGCCUCAAAUGAUUCAGAUUAAGAGUUCUGCUCAAGAUAUAUGUGCUAGAGAACUAAUUAUUUUGUACUUGACCGCUCUGCAGAUGUUGAGGUUGGUCCUGGAAUGGUUGGCUUUAGGACUUUUGGUGGCAGUAUAUUCUUAUGCCGACGAAAAGCAUUUGCAGGAUGAUUAUGUGGUUAUCUGUGGCAGUGUGCUCCUAUCCUCCCCGCCUCCACACUUCAUUUUUGGAAAACUAAUGAUUUUAAUUCCUCGAUGUCAUAGGUACCAUUGAUUGUGCCUCAGCUUCGUAGUCAAUCUUCGAUCGUCCAUGGCAUCAACACACAAAUUGAGAACUAAUUAUUUUGUACUUGACCGCUCUACAGAUGUUGAGGUUGGUCCUGGAAUGGUUGGCUUUGGGACUUUUGGUGGCAGUAUAUUCUUAUGCCGACGACAAGCAUUUGCAGGACGAUUAUGUGGUUAUCUGUGGCAGUGUGCUCCUAUCCUCCCCGCCUCCAUACUUCAUUUUUGGAAAACUAAUGAUUUUAAUUCCUCGAUGUCAUAGGUACCAUUGAUUGUGCCUCAGCUUCGUAGCCGAUCUUCGAUCGUCCAUGGCAUCAACACACAAAUUGAUAAUGCAAGCCUCAGGUCAAUACCUCCCCUAUUUGAUUUCUGCGGCAGAGUACUAAUAACUUUAUUGUUUGUGUUUUUGGAUAAGAUUUGCAUGGUAUUUCUAUCAUUGGUUGAUUGCUUGGAUACUUUCACUAUAGUAGUUGUUCUGCCUCAUCUAUCACUAUCUGCAAGCUUACUUUGAUUAUGUGUCUCCCAACUUUCUGUAACUAAAAAGCAGCCUGUAAAUGUAGCUUGAAUAAAAAUGGUACCUUUCUGUUUUGUGCAAGUUCA